AUUGAACGCUGGCGGCAGGCCUAACACAUGCAAGUCGAGCGGUAACAGGAAAGCGCUUGCGCUUUUGCUGACGAGCGGCGGACGGGUGAGUAAUGUCUGGGGAUCUGCCCGAGGGCGGGGGAUAACCACUGGAAACGGUGGCUAAUACCGCAUAAUGUCGCGAGACCAAAGUGGGGGACCUGAAAGGGCCUCACGCCAUCGGAUGAACCCAGAUGGGAUUAGCURGUAGGUAGGGUAAUGGCCUACCUAGGCGACGAUCCCUAGCUGGUCUGAGAGGAUGACCAGCCACACUGGGACUGAGACACGGCCCAGACUCCUACGGGAGGCAGCAGUGGGGAAUAUUGCACAAUGGGCGCAAGCCUGAUGCAGCCAUGCCGCGUGUAUGAAGAAGGCCUUCGGGUUGUAAAGUACUUUCAGCGGGGAGGAAGGGUGUAGCCUGAACAGGG
This 446-nucleotide ribosomal RNA is filed under the name Photorhabdus sp. RNAcentral describes it as "bacterial SSU rRNA". It matches the Rfam family "Bacterial small subunit ribosomal RNA", at positions 29 to 470 of the family's 1533-position model. The record is from RNAcentral. Lineage: Bacteria; Pseudomonadati; Pseudomonadota; Gammaproteobacteria; Enterobacterales; Morganellaceae.